GAUAGACAGAGGGCGCCUUCCAGAGGAUGUCUCAUGUUCCAUGGUCUAAGGAGAGCACUGAGGAUUCCUUGCCUUCUGUAGAACUCCUUUCUGUGUCUUCAUGAAUACAUGUUGCAGAGGAUUUAUUUGAUGAGGUUCCUUAUUCCUCCUUUCCUCGGAUAUCUUUCUCCCUAGAAUGCCUGUCAGGAGCAAGAGUUAUAGGAUGGAAGACUUGCAACGAAUGGUCUGAUCAUUAUGUCCACGUAUGUACUGAUGCCUUCACACAGAUUGUCGUUUCCGGAGACUAUCGGUCUGCCAGUUGGUUUUCUAAAUUCCCAAAUUCAACUUGGUUUCGGAAUAUCUGAAUGUCAGCUAUCUCCUUCUCAAGUUGAGCUGCCAAGUUUAAAAUGAAAGAGUUCGGGCGCAAGCGCAGGUAAGGCAGUCGGGGAGAGAAACCGCUCGUGACGGUGAAAAAAUCUCUAAGUCUUGACGCAUGCGCGAAGCAAGAGCCAAGGCAAACCGAAAGAGCAAGUACACGUCAUCAGAGGAGGACCCGCGACGCAGAGCAGAAACGUCACGGGUAGGCGACGCUAAGUCAUCAAAGGAGGACUGAUGACGCCAACUCGGAAUACCGGAAAUAAACAUCUAUUGACCGCGAAGAGUGCCAAUCAAGCUGAUUCCUGCAGCGAUUGGCUAGAUGACACCCGCCCACACUAAGAGAAGGCAUAAAGCCUUGGAAUAGCCUCA
Long non-coding RNA from Bufo gargarizans (Asiatic toad), 726 nucleotides. RefSeq lists it as uncharacterized. NCBI's taxonomy places the organism in Eukaryota, Metazoa, Chordata, Amphibia, Anura, Bufonidae. The transcript is spliced from 5 exons. The record is from RefSeq and is a predicted model, not a curated record.